This 253-nucleotide ribosomal RNA is filed under the name uncultured bacterium. RNAcentral describes it as "partial 16S ribosomal RNA". It matches the Rfam family "Bacterial small subunit ribosomal RNA", at positions 524 to 776 of the family's 1533-position model. The record is from RNAcentral.
UACAGAGGUCCCGAGCGUUGUUCGGAUUUAUUGGGCGUAAAGGGUGCGUAGGUGGCAAAGUAAGUUGGAUGUGAAAUCCUGGGGCUCAACCUCAGAAUUGCAUUCAAUACUGCUUAGCUAGAGAGCUGUAGAGGAGACUGGAAUUUACGGUGUAGCAGUGAAAUGUGUAGAUAUCGUAAGGAACGCCAGUGGCGAAAGCGAGUCUCUGGGCAGCAUCUGACACUGAGGCACGAAGGCCAGGGGAGCAAACGGG